This 540-nucleotide ribosomal RNA is filed under the name uncultured bacterium. RNAcentral's name for it is "bacterial SSU rRNA". It matches the Rfam family "Bacterial small subunit ribosomal RNA", at positions 355 to 913 of the family's 1533-position model. The record is from RNAcentral.
UGGGGAAUAUUGCGCAAUGGGGGAAACCCUGACGCAGCCAUGCCGCGUGAGUGAAGAAGGUCUUCGGAUCGUAAAGCUCUUUCAACGGUGAAGAUGAUGACGGUAGCCCUAGAAGAAGCCCCGGCUAACUUCGUGCCAGCAGCCGCGGUAAUACGGAGGGGGCUAGCGUUGUUCGGAAUUACUGGGCGUAAAGCGCGCGUAGGCGGACUGAUCAGUCAGGGGUGAAAUCCCGGGGCUCAACCCCGGAACUGCCUCCAAAACUAUUGGUCUAGAGUUCGAGAGAGGUGAGUGGAAUUCCAAGUGUAGAGGUGAAAUUCGUAGAUAUUUGGAGGAACACCAGUGGCGAAGGCGGCUCACUGGCUCGAUACUGACGCUGAGGUGCGAAAGUGUGGGGAGCAAACAGGAUUAGAUACCCUGGUAGUCCACACCGUAAACGAUGAAUGCCAGUCGUCGGGUAGCAUGCUAUUCGGUGACACACCUAACGGAUUAAGCAUUCCGCCUGGGAGUACGGUCGCAAGAUUAAAAGCUCAAAUGAAUUGA